CCUACGGGAGGCAGCAGUGGGGAAUAUUGCACAAUGGGCGAAAGCCUGAUGCAGCAACGCCGCGUGAGCGAUGAAGGCCUUCGGGUCGUAAAAUUCUGUCCUUGGGGAAGAUAAUGACGGUACCCAAGGAGGAAGCCCCGGCUAACUACGUGCCAGCAGCCGCGGUAAUACGUAGGGGGCGAGCGUUGUCCGGAAUUACUGGGCGUAAAGGGCGCGCAGGCGGAUAUUUAAGUCAGCUGUAAAAGGCAUGAGCUCAACUCAUGUAUGCGGUUGAAACUGGGUAUCUAGAGUGCUGGAGAGGUAGGCGGAAUUCCCGGUGUAGCGGUGAAAUGCGUAGAUAUCGGGAAGAACACCAGUGGCGAAGGCGGCUUACUGGACUGUAACUGACGCUGAGUCACGAAAGCGUGGGUAGCAAACAGGAUUAGAUACCCCUGUAGUC
RNAcentral lists this ribosomal RNA (439 nucleotides) under uncultured Aminobacterium sp. RNAcentral's name for it is "bacterial SSU rRNA". It matches the Rfam family "Bacterial small subunit ribosomal RNA", at positions 338 to 795 of the family's 1533-position model. The record is from RNAcentral. Lineage: Bacteria; Thermotogati; Synergistota; Synergistia; Synergistales; Aminobacteriaceae.